RNAcentral lists this ribosomal RNA (1678 nucleotides) under Lamprogrammus niger. Its description in RNAcentral is "16S rRNA". It matches the Rfam family "Bacterial large subunit ribosomal RNA". The record is from RNAcentral. Lineage: Eukaryota; Metazoa; Chordata; Actinopteri; Ophidiiformes; Ophidiidae.
CGCCUAAAAGCUAGCCUAACCACCCAGACCAACAACCACACAUAAAUAGCCUGAUAAAAUCCACAUAGAACCAUCAAAACAUUUUCCCGCCCAAGUACAGGAGAUAGAAAAGGAACAAGUAGAGCAACAGAUAAAGUACCGCAAGGGAAUGCUGAAAGAGAAAUGAAACAACCCAUAAAAGCCUAAAGAAGCAGAGAUUAAACCUCGUACCUUUUGCAUCAUGUUUUAGCCAGUAUAUUCAAGCAAAAAGUAUUAUAGUUUGACACCCCGAAACUAGGUGAGCUACUCCAAGGCAGCCCGUAAAAGGGGCACACCCGUCUCUGUGGCAAAAGAGUGGGAAGACCUUCGAGUAGAGGUGACAGACCUACCGAACCUAGUUAUAGCUGGUUGCCUAAAAAAUGAAUAGAAGUUCAGCCUCUUGGAUUUUCCAUUCCCUAAAGUCAACUUAUAUUGAUUAAGAGAAGCCAUGAGAGUUAGUCAAAGGAGGUACAGCUCCUUUGAAAAAGAUACAACUUUGGAAGGAGGGUAAAGAUCACAGUAAUACAAGGACUAUAUAUUUUGGUGGGCCUAAAAGCAGCCACCCAGACAGAAAGCGUUAAAGCUCAUAUAUAAUUAAUACCCAUUAUUCUGAUAAUAAUAUCUAAACCCCCUAUCCAUAUUAGGCCCUCCCAUACAUAAAUGGAAGUGAUUAUGCUAAUAUGAGUAAUAAGAGAACCCAAGGUUCUCUCCACGCACAAGUGUAUGUCGGAACGGACCCACCACCGACCAUUAACGAACCCAACUCAAGAGGGAACUGAGCACUAAAUUAAACAACUAGAAAACCACUCAGCACUUAACGUUGAGCCCACACUGGUGUGCUAAUCCGGAAAGACUAAAAGAAAGGGAAGGAACUCGGCAAAUAAAAGCCUCGCCUGUUUACCAAAAACAUCGCCUCUUGCAAGAUAAGAAUAAGAGGUCCCGCCUGCCCUGUGACUAUAAGUUUAACGGCCGCGGUAUUUUGACCGUGCGAAGGUAGCGCAAUCACUUGUCUCUUAAAUGGAGACCUGUAUGAAUGGCACGACGAGGGCUUAACUGUCUCCCCUUUCCAGUCAGUGAAAUUGAUCUCCCCGUGCAGAAGCGGGGAUAACUACAUAAGACGAGAAGACCCUAUGGAGCUUUAGACAUCAAGGCGGACCAUGUUAAGACCCCCAGUCAAGAGGAUAAACUUAUUGGAACCCACCCCCCUGUCUUCGGUUGGGGCGACCACGGGGAAAAGCAAAACCCCCGCGCGGAAUGGGAGGAAGUCCUCCUAAAGCCGAGAGCCACCGCUCUAAGAAUCAGAAAUUCUGACCAUAAUGAUCCGGCAAAGCCGAUCAACGAACCAAGUUACCCUAGGGAUAACAGCGCAAUCCCCUUUUAGAGUCCAUAUCGACAAGGGGGUUUACGACCUCGAUGUUGGAUCAGGACAUCCUAAUGGUGCAGCCGCUAUUAAGGGUUCGUUUGUUCAACGAUUAAAGUCCUACGUGAUCUGAGUUCAGACCGGAGUAAUCCAGGUCAGUUUCUAUCUAUGAAAUAAUCUUUCUCUAGUACGAAAGGACCGAGAAAGAGGGGCCCAUACCUAAGGUACGCCUCAACCCCACCCACUGAAGUCAACUAAAGAGGGCAAGGGGUCAUAAAAAGUUGCCUAAAAGAAAGGCAU